UCUUAUGUAGUAUAUUUUAAUACAUCGCUUUUAGAAAGUGAAAAAUUUUUAAGAA
This 55-nucleotide transfer RNA is filed under the name Thaumamermis cosgrovei. RNAcentral's name for it is "tRNA-Leu". Lineage: Eukaryota; Metazoa; Nematoda; Enoplea; Mermithida; Mermithidae. The record is from RNAcentral.